GCCCAGCAUGUGUGAGGCACUGGAUUCGAUUCUUAGCACCACAUAUAAAUAAAUGAAUAAAAUAAAGGUCCAUCAACAUCUAAAAAAAUUUUAAAAUAAAAAGUAGAGGUUGGUGGGACACAGGAAUGAUAAGCUAGCCUGUCCUUCAGAGUUGACAUUCUUGCCCAAUGACCUAAUUUCUCCUGUGUGUUGAAGGAACAGUUGACCCUUGGAAGUGAGGAAGAGGAAAGGGAGGUUGGAAUCUUCUUUGAAAUAUUUGCUAUAGGGAAAGAAAAAGGUCAGCUUGGGAGAAUGUCAAAGGAUUGCCAAACUGCAGGAGACCAGCCUCAAAUUGAACACUAGAAAUGUUGGCCCUCUCCAGAGCAAGAAGUAGCCACAGCCAGAUUCCAGAUUCCACCAAUAAGGUUAGUCUAGUAGAAGGUCAACGGGCAAGUGAAAGGAAAUCCCUGAGGAAAGGGUAGUUGAAGCUACUGUCCACUCUCCACUAUGUCCAUUUGUGGUCAGAGUGGAUAAGAGAAGUCAGGAAGGAAUGUGAGAGUGUAGAGGUGAGGGGUGGGGAGUUGAGGCCUAGAGCUGGCCUGAAGCCAAGGACAGGCUUGGAAAGUAGAAAGAUAACAGUGUGUCAUUUUAGAGGUGAUGGAAAACCUGGUGAUAAGGUUCCAGUGGUGGACAUUUGUUUUUUGUUUGUUUGUAUUCUCUUUUUUUAUUGGUUGUUCAAAACAUUACAAAGUUGUUUUUUUUAAUUGGUUAAAGAGAGAAUCUUUUAAUAUUUACUUUUUAGUUUUC
This 786-nucleotide long non-coding RNA is filed under the name Marmota monax (woodchuck). The record is from RNAcentral. Lineage: Eukaryota; Metazoa; Chordata; Mammalia; Rodentia; Sciuridae.